ACAACAAAAUGAUUGUAUAUGUUUAUUAACAUUGCCAUCUGGUCUUGUACAUGUUGCCGUUUUCAAAUCGAUUCUAUCUUGAAUACUUUUUGAGAAAAAUGUAAAAGAAAGAAAUUGCUUCAAGGGGACAUAACUCUCAUAGGGAAUGAUGAAAUCCUUAGCAGCCUCAUAUGGUAACACAUCAUGAUGAGAUCUAACUAUUGUCCAAAUAAGGUCAUGAUAUCUUUAAAAACAACGAGGGGGGCCAUGUCGAAAAAAAACAAUAAAAGGGAGAUAACUUCUAAAGGGGAUGAUGAAAUCCUACACAGCCUCAUCUGGUAAUACUUCAUGAUGAGGUCUACCGAUGGUCCAUAUUUGGUCUUGAUAACUCCAAUAGAAACGAGGGGAGGCCAUGUCAAACAAAUGCUGGAUGAAAAAAAAAAAAAAAAAAAAAAAAAAAAAAAAAAGGAAAAAACAAUAAGGUCUUUCCUCGCGGAGAGGAAAGACCUAAAAAAAAAAAAAAAAAAAAACUAGUAUCUCAAUUGUUUGUAAAACAAUUGAAAGGUCUUUCCUGUAAAAGUGAUGUUUUCGUAUUGUACUUUGUACGACCUUUCGUUUGAUAUACGACAAGCACACCUUCUGAAACUUUUCGCUUUUUACACUUAAUGACCUCAUCCGCUACAUUUUUGAGAUCGGAAUUAUGAUAUAUGGAACAGAGUAGAUGAGCUUUCGUUUGAUAUGCGACAACACCAUGUUCUUGAAAGUUUGAUUUUUGCACUUAAUAACCCUAUCCAACAAAUUUUUGGAGGUCGGGAAUUUGAUAUUUCAAAUGUACACAUCAUGACCUUUCAUUUGAUAUACAACAACCCUACCUUAAAAGAACAUUUAUUUUUUGCACUCAAUGACCCCAUCCAACCCAUUUUUGGGAGACGUCAAUUUGAAAUUUGAAAUGUACGCUUUAUGUUCUUUCAUUUGAUAUGCGACAACCUUACCAUCUGAGAAAUUUGAAUGUUUGCACUAAAUGACCCCACCCGUCCCCCUGGGAUGAAAAGGGGGUUUAAAAUUUUCAUUUUUAAGUAGAGUUUAUUAAGACCUUCAAUUUGAUAUAUCAGAUGACCCCAUUUGACAAAGUGCAAAUAAUGAUGCAAUAUCAACUAUAUAAAUAGAAGUUAUGAAACUUACAAAGUCAAUGCAAAACUUGAAAAUUUCAAAUUGAUUUUUUGGUGUUUUUUUCCAUGGAAUGUUUUUGGUAUUUGGUCAAACAUAUAACUAUGUCAACCUCUUCAAUUUCUAAAACAUUUUAAGUGGUAAGCUCUUGUUGAUUCAGAAAUACAUGCCUCCGCUCGAAAAACUUCAAACUGCAUUAUCUCUAAAACGACAAUAGAUAUCUCAAAUCUGUUAAAUGAUAAAUGAUCUACAGUUAAAGGACAACAUUAUAGAAAAAGAAUUGGGACAAUUUCAAAGUUCACCAAGGUCACAAUUAAUCAUCAAAUAUAUGAUGCAAUACAAAACUUGAGAACCGGAAGUCGUAGAGACAUGGGACUAUCACCAUUCAACUCAGGACCACUUGACCUUUCAAAUAUCACAAGGUCAAGGUCAUAGUAAAAUGUGAAGGUCAAGGUGAAAUUUCAUCAUGACCUGACAUUGACCUCAAAUUGAAGGUCUUGAACUACUGAUCAUCUUUGCAGUUUAUAGUAGGUUGAUAUCUGUUACCUUUAAAAAGAUAUACACACAAUACUAUACUUUUAAGAAUCAUCCCGUCGUAACUUUUGAACAGACAGUCGGACUCUUUUGAGGUCAGAGUAUAAAAUGUAGAGCUCGUCGAGAGGAACAUUUUAUACGCUGUAAGUAUGCAGCAAACUCUUAUCGUUUUCUUAAUAUGAAAGCUUGAAAUUGCAGCGCGUAAUUUUUUUUUGCACUCGGUGACCUUUGACCUUGGGUGCAAAUUAAAGGUCACAUGAACUUAAGAUUAUUGGUGUAGGUCCCAAGUCUUUACGACUUCCGGUUCUCGAGAUACAAUUUUUCAAAAAUUGUGUAUAUUUUUUCAAGGGAAAUAACUCCUUAUAAGGGUUAACAACAAAAUGAUUGUAUAUGUUAAUUAACAUUGCCAUCUGGUCUUGUACAUGUUGCCGUUUUCAAAUCGAUUCUAUCUUGAAUACUUUUUGAGAAAAAUGUAAAAGAAAGAAAUUGCUUCAAGGGGACAUAACUCUCAUAGGGAAUGAUGAAAUCCUUAGCAGCCUCAUAUGGUAACACAUCAUGAUGAGAUCUAACUUUUGUCCAAAUAAGGUCAUGAUAUCUUUAAAAACAACGAGGGGGGCCAUGUCGAAAAAAAACAAUAAAAGGGAGAUAACUUCUAAAGGGGAUGAUGAUGAAAUCCUACACAGCCUCAUCUGGUAAUACUUCAUGAUGAGGUCUACCGAUGGUCCAUAUUUGGUCUUGAUAACUCGAAUAGAAACGAGGGGAGGCCAUGUCAAACAAAUGCUGGAUGAAAAAAAAAAAAAAAAAAAAAAAACGUAAGGAGAAAAAAUAUGCGACAACCUUACCAUCUGAGAAAUUUGAAUUUUUUUGAUAUCACUAAAUGACAACCCCACCAACUUCCCAUGCCUGGGAUGAGAAAGAGGUUUUAAAAUUUUCAUUUUUAAGUAGAGUUUAUUGAGACCUUCAAUUUGAUAUAUCAGAUGACCCCAUUUGACAAAGUGCAAAAAAUGAUGCAAUAUCAACGAUAUAAAUAGAAGUUAUGAAACUUACAAAGUCAAUGCAAAACAUGAAAAUUUCAAAAUGAUUUUUUGGUGUUUUUUUUCAAUGGAAUGUUUUUGGUAUUUGGUCAAACAUAUAACUAUGUUAACCUCUUCAAUUUCUUAAAACAUUUUAAGUGGUAAGCUGUUGUUGAUUCAGAAAUACAUGCCUCCGCUCGCAAAAUUUCAAACUGCAUUAUCUCUAAAACGACAAUAGAUAUCUCAAAUCUGUUAAAUGAUAAAUGAUCUACAGUUAAAGGACAACAUUAUAGAAAAAGAAUUGGGACAAUUUCAAAGUUCACCAAGGUCACAAUUAAUCAUCAAAUAUAUGAUGCAAUACCAAACUUGAGAACCGGAAGUCGUAGAGACAUGGGACUACCACCAUUCAACUCAGGACCACUUGACCUUUCAAAUAUCACAAGGUCAAGGUCAUAGUAUAAUGUGAAGGUCAAGGUGAAAUUUCAUCAUGACCUGACAUUGACCUCAAAUUGAAGGUCUUGAAUUACUGAUCAUCUUUGCAGUUUAUAGUAGGUUGAUAUCUGUUACCUUUAAAAAGAUAUACACAAAAUACUAUACUUUUAAGAAUCAUCCCGUUGUAACUUUUGAACAGACAGUCGGACAUUUUUGAACUUAUCAUAUAAAAUGUAGAGCUCGUCGAGAGGAACAUUUUAUACGCUGUAUGUAUGCAGCAAAGUCUUAUCGUUUUCCUAAUAUGUAAGCUUGAAAUUGCAGCGUAAUUUUUUUUUUGCACUCAGUGACCUUUGACCUUGACUGCAUAUUAAAGGUCACAUGAAUUAAAGAUUAUUGGUGAAGGUCCCAAGUCUCUACGACUUCCGGUUCUCGAAAUACAAUUUUUCUAAAAUUAUGUAUACAAUUUUUCAAGGGGAAUAACUCCUUAUAAGGGUUAAUAACAAAAUGAUUGUACAUGUUCAUUAACAUUGCCAUCUGUUCCUGUACAUGUUGCCAUUUUCAAAUCGAUUCUAUCUUUUAAUACUUUUUGAGAAAAAUGCAAAGGAAAGAAAUUGUUUCAAGGGGAUAUAACUCUCAUAGGGACGAUGAAAUCCUAUUCAGCCUCAUAUGGUAAUACAUCAUGAUGAGAUCUACAUUAUGUCCAAAUAAGGUCAUGAUAUCUUUAAAACCAACGAGGGGGGGCCAUGUUGAAAAAAAUCAAUAAAAGGGAGAUAACUUCUAAAGGGGAUGAUGAAAUCCUUACACAGGGUCAUUGGUAAUACAUCUUGAUGAGGUCUAGCGAUGGUCCAUAUUUGGUCUUGAUAACUUCAACAGAAACAAGAGGCGAGCAUGUCAAAAAAAUGUUGGAAGAAAAAAAAGAAAAAACUAGUAUCUCAAUUGUUUGUAAAACAAUUGAAAGGUCUUUCCUGUAAAAGUGAUGUUUUCGUAUUGUACUUUGUACGACCUUUCGUUUGAUAUACGACAAGCACACCUUCUGAAACUUUUCGCUUUUUACACUUAAUGACCUCAUCCGUCUACAUUUUUGAGAUCGGAAUUAUGAUAUAUGGAACAGAGUAGAUGAGCUUUCGUUUGAUAUGCGACAACACCAUGUUCUUGAAAGUUUGAUUUUUGCACUUAAUAACCCUAUCCAACAAAUUUUUGGAGGUCGGGAAUUUGAUAUUUCAAAUGUACACAUCAUGACCUUUCAUUUGAUAUACAACAACCCUACCUUAAAAGAACAUUUAUUUUUUGCACUCAAUGACCCCAUCCAACCCAAUUUUUGGGAGACGUCAAUUUGAAAUUUGAAAUGUACGCUUUAUGUUCUUUCAUUUGAUAUGCGACAACCUUACCAUCUGAGAAAUUUGAAUGUUUGCACUAAAUGACCCCACCCGUCCCCCUGGGAUGAAAAGGGGGUUUAAAAUUUUCAUUUUUAAGUAGAGUUUAUUAAGACCUUCAAUUUGAUAUAUCAGAUGACCCCAUUUGACAAAGUGCAAAUAAUGAUGCAAUAUCAAUUAUAUAAAUAGAAGUUAUGAAACUUACAAAGUCAAUGCAAAACUUGAAAAUUUCAAAUUGAUUUUUUGGUGUUUUUUUCCAUGGAAUGUUUUUGGUAUUUGGUCAAACAUAUAACUAUGUCAACCUCUUCAAUUUCUAAAACAUUUUAAGUGGUAAGCUCUUGAUGAUUCAGAAAUACAUGCCUCCGCUCGCAAAAACUUCAAACUGCAUUAUCUCUAAAACGACAAUAGAUAUCUCAAAUCUGUUAAAUGAUAAAUGAUCUACAGUUGAAGGACAACAUUAUAGAAAAAGAAUUGGGACAAUUUCAAAGUUCACCAAGGUCACAAUUAAUCAUCAAAUAUAUGAUGCAAUACAAAACUUGAGAACCGGAAGUCGUAGAGACAUGGGACUAUCACCAUUCAACUCAGGACCACUUGACCUUUCAAAUAUUACAAGGUCAAGGUCAUAGUAAAAUGUGAAGGUCAAGGUGAAAUUUCAUCAUGACCUGACAUUGACCUCAAAUUGAAGGUCUUGAACUACUGAUCAUCUUUGCAGUUUAUAGUAGGUUGAUAUCUGUUACCUUUAAAAAGAUAUACACACAAUACUAUACUUUUAAGAAUCAUCCCGUCGUAACUUUUGAACAGACAGUCGGACUCUUUUGAGGUCAGUGUAUAAAAUGUAGAGCUCGUCGAGAGGAACAUUUUAUACGCUGUAAGUAUGCAGCAAACUCUUAUCGUUUUCUUAAUAUGAAAGCUUGAAAUUGCAGCGUAAUUUUUUUUUUGCACUCGGUGACCUUUGACCUUGGGUGCAAAUUAAAGGUCACAUGAACUUAAGAUUAUUGGUGUAGGUCCCAAGUCUUUACGACUUCCGGUUCUCGAGAUACAAUUUUUCAAAAAUUGUUUAUAUUUUUUCAAGGGAAAUAACUCCUUAUAAGGGUUAACAACAAAAUGAUUGUAUAUGUUAAUUAACAUUGCCAUCUGGUCUUGUACAUGUUGCCGUUUUCAAAUCGAUUCUAUCUUGAAUACUUUUUGAGAAAAAAUGUAAAAGAAAGAAAUUGCUUCAAGGGACAUAACUCUCAUAGGGAAUGAUGAAAUCCUUAGCAGCCUCAUAUGGUAACACAUCAUGAUGAGAUCUAACUUUUGUCCAAAUAAGGUCAUGAUAUCUUCAAAAACAACGAGGGGGGCCCAUGUCGAAAAAAACCAAUAAAAGGGAGAUAACUUCUAAAGGGGAUGAUGAAAUCCUACACAGCCUCAUCUGGUAAUACUUCAUGAUGAGGUCUACCGAUGGUCCAUAUUUGGUCUUGAUAACUCCAAUAGAAACAAGGGGAGGCCAUGUUAAACAAAUGCUGGAUGAAAAAAAAAAAAAAAAAAAAAAAAAAAAAAAAAAAAAACAGGAGAAAAACAAUAAGGUCUUUCCUCGCGGAGAGGAAAGACCUUAAUUAGAAAAACAAUAAGGUCUUUCCUCACGAAGGGGAAAGACCUUAAA
Molecule: long non-coding RNA, 6140 nt
Filed under: Mytilus galloprovincialis (Mediterranean mussel)
Lineage: Eukaryota; Metazoa; Mollusca; Bivalvia; Mytilida; Mytilidae
Source: RNAcentral